This 253-nucleotide ribosomal RNA is filed under the name uncultured prokaryote. RNAcentral describes it as "partial 16S ribosomal RNA". It matches the Rfam family "Bacterial small subunit ribosomal RNA", at positions 524 to 776 of the family's 1533-position model. The record is from RNAcentral.
GACGUAGGGGGCCAGCGUUGCUCGGAAUUACUGGGCGUAAAGGGUUCGUAGGUGGUGCGGCAAGUUGGAAGUGAAAUCUCUGGGCUUAACUCAGAGGCUGCUUUCAAAACUGCCGUGCUCGAGUGCGGGAGAGGCCAGUGGAAUUGCAGGUGUAGCGGUGAAAUGCGUAGAUAUGUGGAGGAAUACCGAUGGCGAAGGCAGCCCCCUGGGCUAAGAUUGACGCUCAUGCACGAAAGCGUGGGGAGCAAACAGG